RNAcentral lists this long non-coding RNA (452 nucleotides) under Nicotiana tabacum (common tobacco). RNAcentral describes it as "long non-coding RNA (NTAB_LNC015695)". Lineage: Eukaryota; Viridiplantae; Streptophyta; Magnoliopsida; Solanales; Solanaceae. The record is from RNAcentral.
CAGUUAGUAUCCUUGAACUUUGUCCCCAGCCAGUCAACAUUAGGGUUUUAAACCAUAAACUGGACUUUUUCCCUUUAGUUAGCAUUAGGGUUUUAAACCCUAAACUGAACUUUUUCCUUUAGUCAGCAUUAGGGUUUUAAACCCUAAACUGAACUCUUUCCUUUAGUCAGCAUUAGGGUUUUAAACCCUAAACUGAACUUUUUCCUUUAGUCAGCAUUAGGGUUUUAAACCCUAAACUGAACUCUUCCCUUUAAUCAGCAUUAGGGUUUUUAAAACCCUAAACUGAACUUUUCCUUUAGCCAACAUGCGGGUUUUAAACCCUGAAUUGAACUUUUCUAGUUAGUCAGUAUUAGGGUUUUAAACCCUAAACUGAACUUUUCCAUUCAGUCAGUAUUAGGGCCCCGACUCUAAACUGAACUUUUCCCCAGUUAGUCAGUACUAGGGUUUCAACU